UGUGUGUGUGUGUGUGUAUAUAUGUAUAUAUAUAAGGGNGUCCCAAGUAUAUACUGGGACGGGACGGGAUGCAGGGUGUCCUAUGUCCCAUGAGAUUUAAAACUUUGAUUUGAUAAAUCAUAAUAUAAGAAUGACAAAGGGAAUAGAUGAUAUGUUAUCAACUUUUCAUCAACAUAACUUCAACUAGCUCUGCACGUCAACCAUGUUGAUGAGAAUUUGCAAGCCACAUGAGCGGUCCCCUUAGCAUGUUUCUUUUUUGGAUUUUGCUAACAUUUUGCUCUCUUAUACAUAAAGAGAGAGAAAGAGAGAGAGAUGAUAGAGGUA
RNAcentral lists this long non-coding RNA (324 nucleotides) under Elaeis guineensis (African oil palm). RNAcentral's name for it is "long non-coding RNA (EGUI_LNC034668)". The record is from RNAcentral. Lineage: Eukaryota; Viridiplantae; Streptophyta; Magnoliopsida; Arecales; Arecaceae.